This 466-nucleotide ribosomal RNA is filed under the name uncultured bacterium. RNAcentral describes it as "partial 16S ribosomal RNA". It matches the Rfam family "Bacterial small subunit ribosomal RNA", at positions 28 to 507 of the family's 1533-position model. The record is from RNAcentral.
GAUGAACGCUGGCGGCGUGCUUAACACAUGCAAGUCGAACGAUGAAGCCCAGCUUGCUGGGUGGAUUAGUGGCGAACGGGUGAGUAACACGUGAGUAACCUGCCCUUGACUCUGGGAUAAGCCCGGGAAACUGGGUCUAAUACCGGAUAGGAGCGCCUGUCGCAUGACGGGUGUUGGAAAGAUUUUUCGGUCAUGGAUGGACUCGCGGCCUAUCAGCUUGUUGGUGAGGUAAUGGCUCACCAAGGCGACGACGGGUAGCCGGCCUGAGAGGGUGACCGGCCACACUGGGACUGAGACACGGCCCAGACUCCUACGGGAGGCAGCAGUGGGGAAUAUUGCACAAUGGGCGGAAGCCUGAUGCAGCGACGCCGCGUGAGGGAUGACGGCCUUCGGGUUGUAAACCUCUUUCAGUAGGGAAGAAGCGAAAGUGACGGUACCUGCAGAAGAAGCACCGGCUAACUACGCG